RNAcentral lists this ribosomal RNA (460 nucleotides) under uncultured bacterium. RNAcentral describes it as "partial 16S ribosomal RNA". It matches the Rfam family "Bacterial small subunit ribosomal RNA", at positions 338 to 795 of the family's 1533-position model. The record is from RNAcentral.
CCUACGGGAGGCAGCAGUGAGGAAUAUUGGUCAAUGGACGAGAGUCUGAACCAGCCAAGUAGCGUGAAGGAUGACUGCCCUAUGGGUUGUAAACUUCUUUUAUAUGGGAAUAAAAUGUUCCACGUGUGGGAUUUUGUAUGUACCAUAUGAAUAAGGAUCGGCUAACUCCGUGCCAGCAGCCGCGGUAAUACGGAGUAUCCGAGCGUUAUCCGGAUUUAUUGGGUUUAAAGGGAGCGUAGGUGGAUUGUUAAGUCAGUUGUGAAAGUUUGCGGCUCAACCGUAAAAUUGCAGUUGAAACUGGCAGUCUUGAGUACAGUAGAGGUGGGCGGAAUUCGUGGUGUAGCGGUGAAAUGCUUAGAUAUCACGAAGAACGCCGAUUGCGAAGGCAGUUCACUGGACUGCAACUGACACUGAGGCUCGAAAGUGUGGGUAUCAAACAGGAUUAGAUACCCCUGUAGUC